UAACCUCCUACUGGAAGAAAUGGGGCAUCACAUUGAGGACCUUCAGAAGAAUGUAAGUGAUUUGAUGGUGCAGGCUGGGAUCGAAGCUUCUGUGAAAGAACAAAUGGAGAACUGCUCAAGGACGUAAGAGUACAGGUGCGGAUGUAGAGCAACAGAACCUCAAAAUGCCAAUCCCACAGCAUGGGUGAUGGAAAGAACCUGCUGAUGAGGAGAGGGGGAGCCAGCACUUGCCUUCCACCACCUCACCAUGAAGGGCUGCGCCCCAGCCUGGACAGCACAUUGACGGGCAGUCUGUGUCCUAACCUCUCCAGCUCUUCUGUUGGUCAGUGUUGAAAAUACAGCUUUUCCUUUCCAAAUCACA
This is a long non-coding RNA of Ochotona princeps (American pika), 361 nucleotides long. RefSeq lists it as uncharacterized. The transcript is spliced from 2 exons. The record is from RefSeq and is a predicted model, not a curated record. NCBI's taxonomy places the organism in Eukaryota, Metazoa, Chordata, Mammalia, Lagomorpha, Ochotonidae.